RNAcentral lists this ribosomal RNA (613 nucleotides) under uncultured archaeon. Its description in RNAcentral is "bacterial SSU rRNA". It matches the Rfam family "Archaeal small subunit ribosomal RNA", at positions 246 to 859 of the family's 1478-position model. The record is from RNAcentral.
GUACCUACUAGCCUACGACGGGUACGGGUUGUGAGAGCAAGAGCCCGGAGAUGGAUUCUGAGACAUGAAUCCAGGCCCUACGGGGCGCAGCAGGCGCGAAAACUUUACAAUGCGGGAAACAGCGAUAAGGGGACCUCGAGUGCCAGGAUACAAUCCUGGCUGUCGUAAUGCCUAAAAAGCAUUGCAUAGCAAGGGCCGGGCAAGACCGGUGCCAGCCGCCGCGGUAACACCGGCGGCUCGAGUGGUAACCGCUAUUAUUGGGUCUAAAGGGUCUGUAGCCGGCUGACUAAGUCUCUUGGGAAAUCUGACAGCUUAACUGUCAGGCUUUCAGGAGAUACUGAUCGGCUCGAGACCGGGAGAGGUGAGAGGUACCUCAGGGGUAGGGGUGAAAUCUUGUAAUCCUUGAGGGACCACCAGUGGCGAAGGCGUCUCACCAGAACGGAUCUGACGGCAAGGGACGAAAGCUAGGGGCACGAACCGGAUUAGAUACCCGGGUAGUCCUAGCCGUAAACGAUACUCGCUAGGUGUCGGCCACGGUGCGACCGUGGUCGGUGCCGUAGGGAAGCCGUGAAGCGAGCCACCUGGGAAGUACGGCCGCAAGGCUGAAACUUAA